Molecule: ribosomal RNA, 240 nt
Filed under: uncultured bacterium
Lineage: Bacteria
Description: partial 16S ribosomal RNA
Rfam family: Bacterial small subunit ribosomal RNA
Source: RNAcentral
UGGCGACGGGUGGAGUAACGCGUGAGGAACCUGCCUCAAAGAGGGGGACAACAGUUGGAAACGACUGCUAAUACCGCAUAAGCCCACGGCUCGGCAUCGAGCAGAGGGAAAAGGAGCAAUCCGCUUUGGGAUGGCCUCGCGUCCGAUUAGCUAGUUGGUGAGGUAACGGCCCACCAAGGCGACGAUCGGUAGCCGGACUGGGAGGUUGAACGGCCACAUUGGGACUGAGACACGGCCCAG